This 66-nucleotide transfer RNA is filed under the name Agnetina aequalis. RNAcentral's name for it is "tRNA-Arg". Lineage: Eukaryota; Metazoa; Arthropoda; Insecta; Plecoptera; Perlidae. The record is from RNAcentral.
AAGUAAGAAGCGACACAUUUGCAUUCAGUUUCGACCUGACCCUAGAUAUUCAAUUAUCCUUACUUU